This 292-nucleotide ribosomal RNA is filed under the name uncultured bacterium. Its description in RNAcentral is "partial 16S ribosomal RNA". The record is from RNAcentral.
GGACUACCGGGGUAUCUAAUCCGGUUCGCUCCCCACGCUCUCGCACCUCAGCGUCAGGUGCUGCCCAGUCGACUGGUUUCCCCCUGGGUGUUCCUGCCGAUCUCUACGCAUUUCACCACUACACCGGCAAUUCCAUCGACCUCUGCAGCCCUCCAGUGCUGCCGUAUGGGAUGGCGCCUGGCCGUUAAGCGGCCAGAUUUCACACCCCACGCGCAGUACCGCCUGCGUGCGCUUUACGCCCAGUCAAUCCGGACAACGCUUGGCUCCUCUGUAUUACCGCGGCUGCUGGCAC